Molecule: ribosomal RNA, 245 nt
Filed under: uncultured bacterium
Lineage: Bacteria
Description: partial 16S ribosomal RNA
Rfam family: Bacterial small subunit ribosomal RNA
Source: RNAcentral
UACGUAGGCAGCGAGCGUUGUUCGGAAUUACUGGGCGUAAAGGGUGUGUAGGCGGUUUUCUAAGUUUGGUGUGAAAUCUCCCGGCUCAACUGGGAGGGUGCGCCGAAAACUGGAAGGCUAGAGUGCGGGAUGGGAGAGUGGAAUUCCUGGUGUAGCGGUGAAAUGCGUAGAUAUCAGGAGGAACACCGGCAGUGUAAACGGCUCUCUGGACCGUAACUGACGCUGAGACACGAAAGCGUGGGGAG